This 71-nucleotide transfer RNA is filed under the name Beggiatoa alba B18LD. It matches the Rfam family "tRNA". Rfam says of the family: Transfer RNA (tRNA) molecules are approximately 80 nucleotides in length. Their secondary structure includes four short double-helical elements and three loops (D, anti-codon, and T loops). Lineage: Bacteria; Pseudomonadati; Pseudomonadota; Gammaproteobacteria; Thiotrichales; Thiotrichaceae. The record is from Rfam by way of RNAcentral.
GGCUGAUUGGCAGAGUGGUGAUGCAGCGGCCUGCAAAGCCGUGUACGUCGGUUCGAUUCCGUCAUCAGCCU